Molecule: long non-coding RNA, 534 nt
Filed under: Equus caballus (horse)
Lineage: Eukaryota; Metazoa; Chordata; Mammalia; Perissodactyla; Equidae
Description: lncRNA (ENSECAG00000060327.1)
Source: RNAcentral
GUGGCCUUGAAACAGGGGAAGUGAAGAACUGAAACCAUGAAUGCAAUUAAUCUACCGAACUCCUCUCACUCACCAUCACAUCCCUCACACUGAAGAAAAAAAGAGGUUCAGAACUUUGGCUAGACUCCAUCAUGGAGGAACGUCUCAAACCACCACCAUUGUGUGUGCAAAGCGCCUUAUUCCCAGGAAGCCCAAAGACUGCUCCCGGUCCAGGUCUCUUGUAGUGAGUGGGUCAUAGAGACACACUACAUUUGUGGGAUCAGAUUCAACUGUCAAAGAGGAACCUGCCUGGCUCCAGCAAAACCAAGUACAAAUCGCAGGAUUCCUCUUCGAUGCCUGAGUCCACAGCAUCUGCCGAAUCCUCUCUCUAUGGCUUGCCACUUGGUCCUAAGGGCUUGUUGGCCUUCAUCAGAAGCAGCUUCCAAAUUGCUUCAACCUCAGAGACCAGCAACUCUGGCCUCGUCAGCCUGCCAGAUCCUGUUGUUGCUCACCUAUUUGCAAAGCAAAGAACUUUCAAGAAGGUCAGAGAAUUCC